ACGGUAAGGCCCCUUCGGGGGUACACGAGUGGCGAACGGGUGAGUAACACGUGGGUAAUCUGCCCUGCACUUCGGGAUAAGCCUGGGAAACCGGGUCUAAUACCGGAUAUGAGCUCCUGCCGCAUGGUGGGGGUUGGAAAGUUUUUCGGUGCAGGAUGAGUCCGCGGCCUAUCAGCUUGUUGGUGGGGUAAUGGCCUACCAAGGCGACGACGGGUAGCCGGCCUGAGAGGGUGAUCGGCCACACUGGGACUGAGACACGGCCCAGACUCCUACGGGAGGCAGCAGUGGGGAAUAUUGCACAAUGGGCGAAAGCCUGAUGCAGCGACGCCGCGUGGGGGAUGACGGUCUUCGGAUUGUAAACUCCUUUCAGUAGGGACGAAGCGAAAGUGACGGUACCUGCAGAAGAAGCACCGGCCAACUACGUGCCAGCAGCCGCGGUAAUACGUAGGGUGCAAGCGUUGUCCGGAAUUACUGGGCGUAAAGAGCUCGUAGGCGGUUUGUCACGUCGUCUGUGAAAUCCUCCAGCUCAACUGGGGGCGUGCAGGCGAUACCGGCAGACUUGAGUACUACAGGGGAGACUGGAAUUCCUGGUGGUGCGGUGAAAUGC
RNAcentral lists this ribosomal RNA (607 nucleotides) under bacterium C-TJ3. RNAcentral's name for it is "bacterial SSU rRNA". It matches the Rfam family "Bacterial small subunit ribosomal RNA", at positions 66 to 689 of the family's 1533-position model. The record is from RNAcentral.